Molecule: ribosomal RNA, 274 nt
Filed under: uncultured bacterium
Lineage: Bacteria
Description: partial 16S ribosomal RNA
Rfam family: Bacterial small subunit ribosomal RNA
Source: RNAcentral
AUACGGAGGGUGCAAGCGUUGUCCGGAUUUAUUGGGUUUAAAGGGUGCGCAGGCGGUGCGUUAAGUCAGUGGUGAAAUCUUCCGGCUCAACCGGGAAACUGCCAUUGAUACUGGCGCACUUGAGUACGGACGAGGUAGGCGGAAUUUAUGGUGUAGCGGUGAAAUGCAUAGAUACCAUAAAGAACACCGAUAGCGAAGGCAGCUUACCAGACCGUAACUGACGCUCAGGCACGAAAGCGUGGGGAGCAAACAGGAUUAGAUACCCUAGUAGUCC